This 464-nucleotide ribosomal RNA is filed under the name uncultured bacterium. RNAcentral describes it as "partial 16S ribosomal RNA". It matches the Rfam family "Bacterial small subunit ribosomal RNA", at positions 28 to 507 of the family's 1533-position model. The record is from RNAcentral.
GACGAACGCUGGCGGCGUGCUUAACACAUGCAAGUCGAACGGAAAGGCCCAGCUUGCUGGGUGCUCGAGUGGCGAACGGGUGAGUAACACGUGGGUGAUCUGCCCCUAACUUCGGGAUAAGCUUGGGAAACUGGGUCUAAUACCGGAUAGGACAAUCGUUUAGUGUCGGUUGUGGAAAGUUUUUUCGGUUAGGGAUGAGCCCGCGGCCUAUCAGCUUGUUGGUGGGGUAAUGGCCUACCAAGGCGUCGACGGGUAGCCGGCCUGAGAGGGUGGACGGCCACAUUGGGACUGAGAUACGGCCCAGACUCCUACGGGAGGCAGCAGUGGGGAAUAUUGCACAAUGGGCGCAAGCCUGAUGCAGCGACGCCGCGUGAGGGAUGACGGCCUUCGGGUUGUAAACCUCUUUCGACAGGGACGAAGCUUUGGUGACGGUACCUGUAUAAGAAGCACAGGCUAACUACGUG